GACGAACGCUGGCGGCGUGCUUAACACAUGCAAGUCGAGCGGUAAGGCCCUUUCGGGGGUACGACGAGCGGCGAACGGGUGAGUAACACGUGGGUGACCUGCCCUUAGCUCUGGGAUAAGCCUGGGAAACUGGGUCUAAUACCGGAUAUGACUCCAUGACGCAUGUUGUGGGGUGGAAAGCCUUGUGCGGCUAGGGAUGGGCCCGCGGCCUAUCAGCUUGUUGGUGGGGUGAUGGCCUACCAAGGCGACGACGGGUAGCCGGCCUGAGAGGGCGACCGGCCACACUGGGACUGAGACACGGCCCAGACUCCUACGGGAGGCAGCAGUGGGGAAUCUUGCGCAAUGGGCGAAAGCCUGACGCAGCGACGCCGCGUGAGGGAUGACGGCCUGGUG
RNAcentral lists this ribosomal RNA (393 nucleotides) under uncultured bacterium. Its description in RNAcentral is "bacterial SSU rRNA". It matches the Rfam family "Bacterial small subunit ribosomal RNA", at positions 28 to 421 of the family's 1533-position model. The record is from RNAcentral.